This 775-nucleotide ribosomal RNA is filed under the name uncultured Neocallimastigales. RNAcentral describes it as "partial large subunit ribosomal RNA". It matches the Rfam family "Eukaryotic large subunit ribosomal RNA", at positions 23 to 616 of the family's 3401-position model. The record is from RNAcentral. Lineage: Eukaryota; Fungi; Neocallimastigomycota; Neocallimastigomycetes; Neocallimastigales.
ACACGCAUGACACACUGCAUAUCAAUAAGCGGAGGAAAAGAAACUAACAAGGAUUCCCUUAGUAACGGCGAGUGAAGCGGGAAGAGCUCAAAUUUGAAAUCUUCAAGGUUCUACCUUGACGAAUUGUAGUUUAAAGAAGUGUUUUCUGUUGGAGUUUUGGUAAAAGUUCUUUGGAAUAGGACAUCAUAGAGGGUGAGAAUCCCGUAUUUGACCAUUAUUUCAGCUGUGUGAUACACUUUCAAAGAGUCGGAUUGUUUGGGAAUGCAGUCCAAAAUGGGUGGUAAAUUUCAUCUAAAGCUAAAUAUUGGCGAGAGACCGAUAGCGAACAAGUACCGUGAGGGAAAGAUGAACAGAACUUUGAAAAGAGAGUUAAACAGUACGUGAAAUUGUCAAAAGGGAAGCGUUUGACACCAGUGUUGUUUUCUCGAAAAUCAAUAAAAAAUGAUUGGAUUUUGUUGUUGUAUUGACCUUUAUCAGCUUUCUGCACUCUUUUCCUGCUUUUUUAAUGCACUUUUCGUUUAACAAGUCAACAUCAAUUUCUUUUGUUGUAAAAGAGGUCAUUGGAAGGUGGCUUUCUUUUCGGAGAAAGUGUUUAUAGCCUUUGAUCUCUGCAACCGGAGAGACUGAGGUCUGCAGCGUAGACUCUUCGGGGUUAGAUACAUUUGUGCUAAGCUAUAGCUUUUCAUAGACAACUUGUUGACUAUGUUUAGUCUUGUGGCUUACUCGCUUAUGCUAUUUUACCUACGCUUAGGAUGUUGAGCGCAUGUCUCUCUCU